Molecule: long non-coding RNA, 854 nt
Filed under: Chinchilla lanigera (long-tailed chinchilla)
Lineage: Eukaryota; Metazoa; Chordata; Mammalia; Rodentia; Chinchillidae
Description: lncRNA (ENSCLAG00000024614.1)
Source: RNAcentral
CUCUGGGGUUACUACGCUCUGUUGCUGAGCCGGUGGGGCAGGCCCCGGUGGGUGAUGCAAGGGCAGUGAUGGGCGGCUGACUGGAGGAGGCCUUUGGCAGCACUUGGGGAGGACCGCGACUGCGGCUCCUCAGCAGGUCACCACAGCACUGCUCAGAGGCGGCGGCUGGUUACCAGCGUGGCCCGGCGGUCACAAUGGGGCUGGCCUGCGGCCGGGUUUGUGUUCUGUGCAUCCUGGAGUCUGGCUCAACAUUCUCAUUGUCAUUGUCACCCUCACAAUCACAGCCCUCACCACGGUCCCAGACUGGAGGGCAUACACGUGAUAACACAUGAAUCCUGCUCCUACGAGCUCUGCAGCUAAGGAACCUGACCUCCAGGCCAGGCCAGGCCAGGUCCUUACAUGGCCUCAGGAGGCAGUGGAGAAGCCUGGGUGGGAUUCCUGGCCUGGAGCACCUGCCUGGCUGCGCCCGGUGGGCAUCUCAGAGAAAAUGUCACUCUACAUCGGUGCCACUCCACAUUGCAUGGGCUCCAGCCUGAUUUCCGCCCAGAGGCCCUGCAGGGCUCUUCUGAAGCUGCUCGUCACUGCCACCCCUGUCCGGGGCAUUCCGGUCAGGUAGCUUCACGGCUCUGGGGCCUGGAGCCCCCCAGCAGGAUUUCUAUCUUAAAGCAAUAAUUUGUCCAAGGUACAGAGUGGACAUGUGUGGGUUUGUGGGGAAGAAGAAUAACCCCUGCCAAGGGGUUUAGGCACAUUCACCAGCGGGGCCCUGGGGGAGUGAACCUGGCCUGGGAGAAAACCUGGGAGAGUGGAAAGUGGGGAGGCCUCUGGGGCUCCAAGGGGUUUGGGGUGGUCCUGAU